Diceros bicornis minor is the source of this 390-nucleotide long non-coding RNA. RefSeq lists it as uncharacterized. The transcript is spliced from 2 exons. NCBI's taxonomy places the organism in Eukaryota, Metazoa, Chordata, Mammalia, Perissodactyla, Rhinocerotidae. The record is from RefSeq and is a predicted model, not a curated record.
AGAGCUGCUAUAUAAUCGUGCCCCAGGUCACCCAGCUGGUGAGCCACACACCCACGUGGGCUGGAUCCAGAGGCAUCCUACUGAUUAGUAUGUAGCAGGUGCUCCAUAAAUAUUGGCUGAAUUAAUGGAAGAACAACAAAAAAUCUGUGUCCUGAACCCACCAGCUAAGUAACGGUGAAGCACUUCGCCUCUGUAGAUGAAACAAUCCCUGCACUGCCGUCCAGUCUGAGGCCAGGCUUGUUCUGUGUUCUGAAAACAGCACACACAGCCUGUGACGUCCUGGAGUCGGCUGGUACUGCCUCAUGACAGCUGAUGGUUAAAUUUUCAAGAAUCUUGAGGGCUGAUUGUUAAACACAGUCAUUAUUAAACAUUAAAUUGCUACUUACUGCG